UUCGUUUCGCUGUCGGCAGUCCGUGCCGCC
This 30-nucleotide small RNA is filed under the name Bombyx mori (domestic silkworm). Its description in RNAcentral is "ovarian small RNA-4058". The record is from RNAcentral. Lineage: Eukaryota; Metazoa; Arthropoda; Insecta; Lepidoptera; Bombycidae.